UACGUAGGUGGCGAACGUUGUCCGGAUUCACUGGGCGUAAAGCGCGCGCAGGCGGGUUAGUAAGUCUGAGGUGAAAGCUCCCGGCUCAACUGGGAGAAGCCCUUGGAUACUGCUAGCCUUGAGACACUUAGAGGAGAGUGGAAUUCCCGGUGUAGUGGUGGAAUGCGUAGAUAUCGGGAGGAACACCAGUGGCGAAAGCGGCUCUCUGGGAGUGUUCUGACGCUGAGGCGCGAAAGCGUGGGGAGCAAACCGG
Molecule: ribosomal RNA, 253 nt
Filed under: uncultured prokaryote
Description: partial 16S ribosomal RNA
Rfam family: Bacterial small subunit ribosomal RNA
Source: RNAcentral